UACGGAGGGAGCUAGCGUUGUUCGGAAUUACUGGGCGUAAAGCGCACGUAGGCGGCUUUUUAAGUCAGGGGUGAAAUCCCGGGGCUCAACCCCGGAACUGCCCUUGAAACUGGAGAGCUAGAAUCUUGGAGAGGCGAGUGGAAUUCCGAGUGUAGAGGUGAAAUUCGUAGAUAUUCGGAAGAACACCAGUGGCGAAGGCGGCUCACUGGUCCGGUACUGACGCUGAGGUGCGAAAGCGUGGGGAGCAAACAGG
This 253-nucleotide ribosomal RNA is filed under the name uncultured bacterium. RNAcentral's name for it is "partial 16S ribosomal RNA". It matches the Rfam family "Bacterial small subunit ribosomal RNA", at positions 524 to 776 of the family's 1533-position model. The record is from RNAcentral.